GGGAAUGUGACUCAGUGGUAGAGUGCUUGCCUAUCAUGCAUGAAGCCCUGGGUUCAAUUCCA
This 62-nucleotide transfer RNA is filed under the name Dipodomys ordii (Ord's kangaroo rat). It matches the Rfam family "tRNA", at positions 1 to 61 of the family's 71-position model. Rfam says of the family: Transfer RNA (tRNA) molecules are approximately 80 nucleotides in length. The record is from Rfam by way of RNAcentral. Lineage: Eukaryota; Metazoa; Chordata; Mammalia; Rodentia; Heteromyidae.